ACUCCUACGGGAGGCAGCAGUGGGGAAUAUUGCACAAUGGGGAAAGGACCCUGAUGCAGCCAUGCCGCGUGUGUGAAGAAGGCCUUCGGGUUGUAAAGCACUUUCAGUAGGGAGGAAGGUAGUGUAGUUACACCUGCAUUAUUGCGUUACCUACAGAAGAAGCACCGGCUAACUCCGUGCCGCAGCCGCGGUAAUACGGAGGGUGCGAGCGUUAAUCGGAAUUACUGGGCGUAAAGCGCAUGCAGGCGGCCUGUUAAGUCAGAUGUGAAAGCCCGGGGCUUAACCUCGGAAUUGCAUUUGAAACUGGCAGGCUAGAGUCUUGUAGAGGGGGUA
This 333-nucleotide ribosomal RNA is filed under the name uncultured bacterium. RNAcentral describes it as "bacterial SSU rRNA". It matches the Rfam family "Bacterial small subunit ribosomal RNA", at positions 335 to 662 of the family's 1533-position model. The record is from RNAcentral.